AUGGCGCUAGUGUCGCCUUUGUUGUUACAUCGUGAAACGAGGCGAAAAAGACGAAACAAAUUAUAGCUAAUUAAUACUUAUAUUCCUGUGAUAUCAAAUACCAAAUUGAACUUCGUAUCUUAUAUGCAUACUGUCAGUCAUUCCAACAAGUUGACUUAGCGCUGAGUCCAUUUCUAUCCAUUAGAUCCUCAUGCAGUCAAAAGCCUAAAACUCAUGUUUGAAGCACCCAUAUUUUGGAAUACAAAUGUGUAGAGAUAAGGUAUUCUUGAACCAUAGCCCAUAGGAUCUUUUCUGAAUCUCACAAUUUUGGUGGCGUACCCUGUAACAGCAUGUUUGUUGUUGUUGAUGUUUUUACUUCUUUUUAGAAGGCAACCCAGCUAAGAGAUAGAGUUUCAGUGACAUGAAGAGUGUGAAGUGAACCACCUAUCACCAUGCUACUGCAAUACUUCAUGACACUUUCUUGAGUAUCAGGAAAUUCAUCUCAACAUGUGAAGUUCUAAUGCUGUUGGUUGCAGUGAAUUCCAUUUUUACGGUUUUUUCAUCAUGAACAAUUCAGUGUUAUCUUAGAAAAGAGCACGCAGUUUCUAUAUAAAAACGUGUGGUCCUGGCACGGGAUCUCUUGUCCCAAUGCUGACCUUUGCCCAUGACGGAAGAGGGACUUCCAUCAGCGUUCUUCUCCAUCCUUAUCUUCGUGACGCACGCUCUAGCUUCACUGCUUCUAAACUCAAUUUGCUUUACUUUACUGGCGACUUGGCGAUUUUCUGGAUCACUUCAGUGAUCGCUUCCGUCCGCUGUUACACACCUUAGUCACUCACCACGGGAUUAUGCCCAGGUAAUGCAGAGGAAACAUCGAGAAGAUGGACACCAAAACGUCACCGGUAUCACCAAAAUGUCGGCGUGGAUCAUCAUUUGUUGUUGGUAAUAUGUUUGUGUCAGUGUUAGUUAACCCGUUGGCUGCCACGCCUUUGUUCUCCUCUAGUUCCUUAGCACGGGUCGCGCUGUUCGGUCUCGUGGUUUACAAGCCGCGGGUUCGGAGAGUCGCCAAGCCCAAAACUUGCCGCAAGGCGCCUGUUUCAGGCAAUGCACCCCCUCUCCCCCCUUGUCGAUACGGUGAUGGGCCUUCUCCUGUCACCGUGUCAGCCCGGACUUGUCAGCAAUGGCAAGUCCCACUUGGUCAUGGGUCCUUCAGAC
Long non-coding RNA from Daphnia pulicaria, 1191 nucleotides. RefSeq lists it as uncharacterized. The transcript is spliced from 6 exons. Lineage: Eukaryota; Metazoa; Arthropoda; Branchiopoda; Diplostraca; Daphniidae. The record is from RefSeq and is a predicted model, not a curated record.